UCGCGGCGGUAAUUCCAGCUCCAAUAGCGUAUAUUAAAGUUGUUGCAGUUAAAACGCUCGUAGUCGGAUUUCGGGGCGGGGCCGCCGGUCUGCCGAUAGGUAUGCACUGGCCGGAGACGGGAUUUUUACUUUGAAAAAAUCAGAGUGUUUCAAGCAGGCAGUCGCUCUUGCAUGGAUUAGCAUGGGAUAAUGAAAUAGGACUCUGGUGCUAUUUUGUUGGUUUCGAGCACCGGAGUAAUGAUUAACAGGGACAGUCAGGGGCACUCGUAUUCCGCCGAGAGAGGUGAAAUUCUUAGACCAGCGGAAGACGAACCACUGCGAAAGCAUUUGCCAGGGAUGUUUUCACUGAUC
RNAcentral lists this ribosomal RNA (351 nucleotides) under Isochrysidales sp. RNAcentral describes it as "SSU rRNA". It matches the Rfam family "Eukaryotic small subunit ribosomal RNA", at positions 571 to 978 of the family's 1831-position model. Lineage: Eukaryota; Haptophyta; Isochrysidales. The record is from RNAcentral.